GAUGAACGCUGGCGGCGUGCCUAAUACAUGCAAGUCGAGCGAACGGACGAGAAGCUUGCUCCUCUGAUGUUAGCGGCGGACGGGUGAGUAAUACGUGGAUAACCUACCUAUAAGACUGGGAUAACUUCGGGAAACCGGAGCUAAUACCGGAUACUAUUUUGAACCGCAUGGUUCAAAAGUGAAAGACGGUCUUGCUGUCUCUUAUAGAUGGAUCCGCGCUGCAUUAGCUAGUUGGUAAGGUAACGGCUUACCAAGGCAACGAUGCAUAGCCGACCUGAGAGGGGGAUCGGCCACCCUGGAACUGAGACACGGACCCGAGUCCUACGGGAGGCAGCAGUAGGGAAUCGUACGCAAUGGGCGAAAGCCUGACGGAGCAACGCCACGUGAGUUAUGAAGGUCUUCGGAUCGUAAUACUCUGUUAUUAGUUAAGAACAUAUGUGUAAGUAACUGUGCACAUCUUGACGGUACCUAAACAGAAAGCCACGGCUAACUACGUG
Molecule: ribosomal RNA, 497 nt
Filed under: uncultured bacterium
Lineage: Bacteria
Description: partial 16S ribosomal RNA
Rfam family: Bacterial small subunit ribosomal RNA
Source: RNAcentral